ACGUACACUUAGGUCAUCAUUUCUUUAUCUUUCACUGCUAGUUACCGACAACUUAGAAAAUGAGACUCCAGAACUGUGCCCACUUACGAGCUUCGGGAAGAAAUGUGAGACGGUUCCUUGUGAAGCAUUAUGGAUGUUGGAAUCUCGAGGUUGCUUCUGUACAGGAUGUUGUGGGUGCCCUACCCAGAAGCCUCUGCCUACUGGCACACCCCGCCUCCGUCUGCUGUGAGCGUUGGUCGCUCCCUUCCCCAGAGAACUACUCUUGGCUUAGCUUGUCAGGGAUGCCUCACUGA
Molecule: long non-coding RNA, 293 nt
Filed under: Lynx canadensis (Canada lynx)
Lineage: Eukaryota; Metazoa; Chordata; Mammalia; Carnivora; Felidae
Description: lncRNA (ENSLCNG00005021576.1)
Source: RNAcentral